RNAcentral lists this ribosomal RNA (384 nucleotides) under Triticum aestivum (bread wheat). RNAcentral describes it as "partial small subunit ribosomal RNA". Lineage: Eukaryota; Viridiplantae; Streptophyta; Magnoliopsida; Poales; Poaceae. The record is from RNAcentral.
AUGCGCUUCGUCUGUAACAUCACGGUGCGGUCCACGACGACGCUCCCCGGUGGUGAUGAGGAGUGCGCGGUGUUGCAUGAGGUGUCGGCGCUGCUCUUCUCGGUACAGCGGGUCUUCAAGAGCCUCUCCAACUACGAGCUCAUGGACCUCGCCGUCGACAACCGCACACGCUGCUUCCGGCACCUCCAGGUGGGCCUCACCUGCCACGCCGAGUUCAGCAUCGACCCGCUCCGCGUGGCACCGUUCGCGAAGCUGGCCAACACGUGCAACGCGAAGCUGGCCAACACGUGCAACGCGAUGCUGGGCGUGCGUGGCGCCGGGCUAACCAACAUGGUGUUCCCGUGCACGAGAGGAUCCAAUGCCCCUCCGCACUACCCCACGUGA